UGGGGAAUAUUGCACAAUGGGCGGAAGCCUGAUGCAGCGACGCCGCGUGGGGGAUGACGGCCUUCGGGUUGUAAACUCCUUUCGACAGGGACGAAGCUUUUUGUGACGGUACCUGUAUAAGAAGCACCGGCUAACUACGUGCCAGCAGCCGCGGUAAUACGUAGGGUGCGAGCGUUGUCCGGAAUUACUGGGCGUAAAGAGCUCGUAGGCGGUUUGUCGCGUCGUCUGUGAAAUUCCGGGGCUUAACUCCGGGCGUGCAGGCGAUACGGGCAUAACUUGAGUGCUGUAGGGGAGACUGGAAUUCCUGGUGUAGCGGUGAAAUGCGCAGAUAUCAGGAGGAACACCGAUGGCGAAGGCAGGUCUCUGGGCAGUAACUGACGCUGAGGAGCGAAAGCAUGGGUAGCGAACAGG
RNAcentral lists this ribosomal RNA (411 nucleotides) under Verrucomicrobiota bacterium. RNAcentral's name for it is "Verrucomicrobia bacterium partial 16S ribosomal RNA". It matches the Rfam family "Bacterial small subunit ribosomal RNA", at positions 355 to 776 of the family's 1533-position model. The record is from RNAcentral. Lineage: Bacteria; Pseudomonadati; Verrucomicrobiota.